This 514-nucleotide ribosomal RNA is filed under the name uncultured bacterium. RNAcentral describes it as "partial 16S ribosomal RNA". It matches the Rfam family "Bacterial small subunit ribosomal RNA", at positions 28 to 523 of the family's 1533-position model. The record is from RNAcentral.
GAUGAACGCUGGCGGCGUGCCUAAUACAUGCAAGUCGAGCGAAUGGACUAAGAGCUUGCUCUUAUGAAGUUAGCGGCGGACGGGUGAGUAACACGUGGGUAACCUGCCCAUAAGACUGGGAUAACUCCGGGAAACCGGGGCUAAUACCGGAUAACAUUUUGAACCGCAUGGUUCGAAAUUGAAAGGCGGCUUCGGCUGUCACUUAUGGAUAGACCCGCGUCGCAUUAGCUAGUUGGUGAGGUAACGGCUCACCAAGGCAACGAUGCGUAGCCGACCUGAGAGGGUGAUCGGCCACACUGGACUGAGACACGGCCCAGACUCCUACGGGAGGCAGCAGUAGGGAAUCUUCCGCAAUGGACGAAAGUCUGACGGAGCAACGCCGCGUGAGUGAUGAAGGCUUUCGGGUCGUAAAACUCUGUUGUUAGGGAAGAACAAGUGCUAGUUGAAUAAGCUGGCACCUUGACGGUACCUAACCAGAAAGCCACGGCUAACUACGUGCCAGCCGCCGCCGUAA